ACGGAGGGUGCAAGCGUUAAUCGGAAUUACUGGGCGUAAAGCGCACGCAGGCGGUUUGUUAAGUCAGAUGUGAAAUCCCCGGGCUCAACCUGGGAACUGCAUCUGAUACUGGCAAGCUUGAGUCUCGUAGAGGGGGGUAGAAUUCCAGGUGUAGCGGUGAAAUGCGUAGAGAUCUAGAGGAAUACCGGUGGCGAAGGCGGCCCCCUGGACGAAGACUGACGCUCAGGUGCGAAAGCGUGGGGAGCAAACAG
This 251-nucleotide ribosomal RNA is filed under the name uncultured bacterium. RNAcentral's name for it is "partial 16S ribosomal RNA". It matches the Rfam family "Bacterial small subunit ribosomal RNA", at positions 525 to 775 of the family's 1533-position model. The record is from RNAcentral.